Molecule: ribosomal RNA, 405 nt
Filed under: uncultured bacterium
Lineage: Bacteria
Description: partial 16S ribosomal RNA
Rfam family: Bacterial small subunit ribosomal RNA
Source: RNAcentral
AUUGAACGCUGGCGGCAGGCUUAACACAUGCAAGUCGAACGAGUGGCGGACGGGUGAGUAAUGUCUGGGAAACUAGCUUAUGGAGCGGGCUAACAACGGUUAAUUGUAGCAAAUACCCCGUACCGUAGGAUGAGCCCAAGGGUGAUUAGGUAGUGGGUGAGGUAAAGGCUCACCAAGACGACGAUCCCUAGCUGGUCUGAGAGGAUGACCCACCACACGGGGACUGAUCCACGUCCCAGACACCGACGGGAGGCAACAGUGGAGAAUAUUGAGCAAGGGGGGCAACCUGACGCAGCCAUGCCGCGUGAGUGAAGAAGGCCUUCGAGUUGUAAAGUUCUUUCGGUAGCGAGGCGUUAACUACAGAAGAAGCACCGGCUAACUCCGUGCCAGCAGCCGCGGUAAUUC